Molecule: ribosomal RNA, 404 nt
Filed under: Fusobacteriota bacterium
Lineage: Bacteria; Fusobacteriati; Fusobacteriota
Description: Fusobacteria bacterium partial 16S ribosomal RNA
Rfam family: Bacterial small subunit ribosomal RNA
Source: RNAcentral
UGGGGAAUAUUGCACAAUGGAGGGAACUCUGAUGCAGCGACGCCGCGUGAGUGAUGAAGGAAUUCGUUUCGUAAAACUCUGUUCUAUGGGAAGAAAAGGACUGUACCAUAGGAGAAAGCUCCGGCUAAAUACGUGCCAGCAGCCGCGGUAAUACGUAUGGAGCGAGCGUUGUCCGGAAUUAUUGGGCGUAAAGGGUGCGCAGGCGGCUUUGCAAGUUGGAUGUGAAAUAUUGUGGCUCAACCACAAACGUGCAUCCAAAACUGCAAAGCUUGAGUUAAGGAGAGGUAAGUGGAAUUCCUGGUGUAGCGGUGGAAUGCGUAGAUAUCAGGAGGAAUACCGGUGGCGAAGGCGACUUACUGGACUUAAACUGACGCUCAGGCACGAAAGCGUGGGGAGCAAACAGG